Molecule: long non-coding RNA, 12745 nt
Filed under: Malus domestica (apple)
Lineage: Eukaryota; Viridiplantae; Streptophyta; Magnoliopsida; Rosales; Rosaceae
Description: long non-coding RNA (MDOM_LNC018532)
Source: RNAcentral
AAGUGCUAUUGUUCAAUUCCCGUUUACGUUUGUUUCCCGGUAAGUUACGUUCUAAGUGGAUUGGACCGUUUUUUAUUACUAACAUAUCUUCUUAUGGUGCCAUCCAGAUUCAAAGUCUCAAAACAGGUCAUGAAUUCCAAGUGAACGGACACCGUUUGAAGCCAUAUUAUGAGAACUUUGUUGAACAAACCGUGGAUGAUAUUUCUUUGGGUGCCGUGGGCACAAAUGGAGAAUGAAUGGGGUUUUCGUCCGGCUGUACGACGUAAAAGAAAGCGCUACUUGGGAGGCAACCCAUGCAAUUCAACAAAGGAAGACCAAGGAAUUACUCCAAUUCCAGAUUUGCGUUCCUAAACUCUUCACUUUGUUGUUUAUUUCGAAUCUGCCUCUUUAGUUGUUUUAGUUGCUGUGUGUGUGUUUCUUUUUGUUUAGUGUGAUUUUAUGCUUGAAACAUUGAGGACAAUGUUUGAUUUAAGUGUGGGGGGGGUAACUAAGUGUUUUAGAUGCAAAUUCGUGGGAUUUUAUCACCCUUAACUUGGAGACUUGUUCCUUGCUGUUUUUAAGUGUUUUUGAGCAGUUUUGGUGUGUUUUAGUGUGUUUUGAUGCAAAAAUCCGAAAAUCACAUAAAAAUUUGAAAAAUUUGUUUUAAAAACCCAAAAAGAGUUGUUUUUGUGUGUUUGUUUGUGUCUUAGGGUACCUUCCAACACAAUGAUGAGGAUUCGGUUUGUAAUCACAUGGCUGUUAAAGAGAGUGAUUAACAUGGAUGAAAGUUUGAUUUACUCUUUGUUAUGCUUAGUUGUGGUUAUAACUUAUGAAUUCACAUGCAAUCAUAAAAGAAAAAAAUCAGUUUUUUUUUUGUAACAUGCUUGAAGGAAGGAACUCAAACUAACGCUACAACCUUGUGAGACUUGAGCCUAAACGUUUAUUUGGAGAGUUAAAAUCUGUGCAUUCUUUGUUUUCUAAAAGUCGUUGCAUGAUCUCAUUAUUCUUUGCUUGGUUGCUACUUAGAAGGCGUUUCAUCAUUUAGUUCCAAAUGCUAGAACUCAUGCCCAUUUCAUUCAAAGCAUGUUAUUGAUGUGCAUAACACACAUUCAAGAUGAAGUUGUGUAGUGACCACCACCUUAGCCAAAAAGCCGUGUGCCCUAUGUCAUUGUGAUUUGUAGGUUUUUAACCCCGUUGAGCCUUGUUUAGCCUAUUCUUUGUUAACCCAUGUUUUCCUCACCUAGCCUAGAUUAGGACCAUCCAUACCCUUGUUCUUAAAGCAUAGUAAACCAUGAUUCAAAUUGAAUUCCGUUUGAUUUAUGUUGGCAGAAAACAAGUGUGGGGGAAGUAUUUCUUUUGUGAUUUUGUGUGCCAUAGGCACGUGUGGAAAGAAAAGAAAAAAAAAAUUCGUGGAAAAAGAAAAAAAAAAAUUUGAAAAAAUAUGAGAAGUAAAAAAAAAAAAAAAAAAAAAAAAAAAAAAGAGUUGAAAAGUUGAGACAAAGACUUCCAAAGUAUUGUUUGUUGAAGUAAGGGUCCAAAACAAUGAAUUUGACCCUAAGGAAUUGUUUAAGUCUCCCCCUUGUGUGUUAAAGUUAAUGUCUGAAAUCUAAGUGAAUUCUAAGUCUCAAUUUCAUUGCUUUGCUUUCUAUCGCUUGAAGAACGGUUGUUUUCCUUAUCCUUUCCUUGUUAACCAAUACCCCGAGCCCCAUUACAACUCUUAACUUCUAUCUUGAGUGUUAUGUGUUCCAAUUUGUGGAGUUUGAAUUUGGUAUGAGCAUAUGGUGUCACUGGUUCUCGCAUCUAAGUAGUAGCACUCCAUUCAUGAGAUCAUAUCUAACAUGCUUCUUAACUCUAGAAAUUGUGUUCUUUGUGAUACAUACAUGUGAGCAUUCGUUUUCAUAUCUACAUCAAUCUUCUCACAUAUGACUAGUGUAGGGUGUGGAGUUAGAAAAUCUGAGUGAAAAUAGAGUGUAUAUCUUGUAAGGAAUUGAGGGAAUUCUCUAAGGCAUGUUACUACAUUCAAAGCAUUGUUUUAAUUGAUUACUUGUGAACUAGUGAGUAGUGGCUUUAAUUAAGUAUGUGCUUGUGUAAAGAUGACUCAAAUCUGUGGGGAUAACAAUCUUUAACAUGUCAUGUGCAUUGGAAAUCCCUGAGGCAAACGUUGGAAGGUUUAGGUUUUGUUUUGGUUAGUUUGUUUCGUUUUGUUUUCUUUCUUUUGUUUGUUUUGCUCGAGGACUAGCAACAGCUAAGUGUGGGGGAAUUUGAUAGGAGCAUAUUUAUGCGCCUUAGUUAGCUAGUUCUUAUGCAUUUUUCUUAUGUUUUCUUCGUUAAAGUAGUCUUUUAAGCUACUUUCAUGUGUUUUCAGGUUUAAAGGACAUAUUACAUGAAAUGAUGCAAUUUGGAGCUAUUGGAGCAAAAAAGUGAGCUUGGAUUGAAAAGGACAUGCUUGGAACACAAGGUUGGGAUGAAAUUGACGAGUUGAAGAUUUGAGGUUUCCUACUUGAAGGACUAGCAACAGCUAAGUGUGGGGGAAUUUGAUAGGAGCAUAUUUAUGAACCUUAGUUAGCUAGUUCUUAGGCAUUUUCGUUAUGUUUUCUUCGUUAAAGUAGUCUUUUAAGCUACUUUCAUGUGUUUUCAGGUUUAAAGGACAUAUUACAUGAAAUGAUGCAAUUUGGAGCUUUUUGGAGCAAAACGUGAGCUUGGAUUGAAAAGUACAUGCUUGGAACACAAGGUUGGGAUGAAAUUGAAGAUUUGAAGAUUUAAGGAUUCCUAGUACAAGAAGGAUUCCUAGUCCGAGGAGGAGUCCUACUCAAACGAGGUUUCCUACUUGAAGUAGGAAAGCUAAGCCUAAAAGUUUCCAUUUUGGGUUGAUCUUUCCUAAACCUAAAUGGCCUUGCGUUUGAGCAACAUUAGAAGGUUCCGAAGCGUUGGAAGACACAAAGAAAGGUGUUAGAAUAUUUUCUCAUCCUUGCCGUGGGUUAGGGCUUAUUUUCUCUUGGUUUUGGGCUUUCUAGAAGCCCUAUCCACACUCCCACUAAUCAGCCGCACCUUUCCCUUCUAGAACACCUAUUUGCCUUGCCUUGCAAGGCAUUCUAGAAGCCCUAACCCUAGCCCAUUAAACCUGCCGCACCCUAGGCCCUUUUCCCACUAAAAUUCUGAUUGUUUUAACCUAUUUUCUGGUGGAUUUGGGUUUCUAGAAACCCUAAUCUGAUUUGCUAGGGUUUUUAAGUGCCUAUAUAUACUCAUUUAACCCUUUUGCCGCACCUACCACCCCCCAUAUUCAUUCUACACGCCAAAAACCCUAGUUCUAAUUCUUGCCGCAUCUUCCACCCCCAAACUCCCAACUUUCUGCCAAAAUUCAACCAUAGCCGCACCUUUCCAUCACCAUAACCACCUUGUGCAGCCACCAUUGAAGGAGGAGAGGAGUAGUGCCGUGCAAACCAAAGGAAGGAAGAGACCUUGCACAUGCAAUCUGCAACUAGUGGAGUGUUUGGAGUUCUUUCUUCUCUUGUUUCUGUUUUCAUGUUUAAUUUAACUUGCUGUUCAAUUAUGUUAAACAUGUGGAACUAAUUUCUUUUUAGUUAGAGGCGAAUUUGAAGCCAUGGACAUAUGUUGGUUAUGAUUUGAUUUACUCUAGUUAUGAAUUCAUGAACUUUAGAUGUGGUUUACUUUUCUGUUUUGAUUGAUAACAUGCUUAUGUAUGUGGGUUGAGGGUCGACACUUAAUUUGCAUGCCUAAACUUGAUGCUAGGAUAUAAGGGAAUUUCACCUAAUCGUUAUUGACUUAUAUUCAUAAGUAGUAAAAGUCGCUAGUCACGAUUGUGUUAAGUAAACCCUAGGCUGGAUUAACAUGCGUAUUCCAUAGUUAUGAAUGCCUAGUCGAUGUUUAUGAUUUCCGUUGAACUUAAUGAUCUUUGUUGAAUGUCUCUAUCAUGCGUAUUCCAUAGUUAGGGACUUUGAUGAGGAAUAAUUUGGUUGUAAUGCGUAUUCCAUUCAAUCCAAUGAAUCUAGGGAAAUCGGAAAGUUAAUUUAAGCGGACCUAAUUAACUUGGAGCAUUGUCAUUCAUCGUUUGUUGAAGUCAUAACUGGGAAUCAAAUUAUAUGCAUAUGUUCAUGUGUGGAUAAGGAUCCUCUAACUAGCUUUUCACCCUUGAAUUCAUCUCAAUUUCGUUUUAGUUUGCUUGAUUUGCAAUUUGUUUAGUUUUAAUUCAAUUUCGUCAACAAAUCAAACACCCUUUUCUGUUUUAUGUUAUUAGGUCAGAAUCUGUCCUAAUUAGGUUCUUUAGAGUGUUUUGAGUCAAAAUAGGUUAGGUUUAGUCCAUAAACAUUGUUUGAGUCUUAGUUUAGUCUUAAAUUCGUCCAAUUUCAUCUCUAGAAUCUGUUUUGAGUCUAAUUGUUAGUAGUGUGCUGUUUUGAGUCUUUUAAGUGUUUUCUGAGUUAGUUAAGUUACAAUCUGUUUUCUUUUAAUCUUUUGAGUCAAAGUAAGAGUUAAUUUCGUCUAAAUCACUUGUUAGGUUUAGAAUUGAGUCAAUUUCACUAAGUUUUGCAGAUUUGAGUGUCUUAGGUCAAAUUAGAGUCUAUAGAGUCUAUUCUUGUGUUUUUAAGUCUAGUUUAGUGUUUUAAAGUUUAAUUUGAGUAGAUUAGCAGCCCUAGUUAAUCCCCGGUUUAGAACGAUCCCUAUUUGCUCAUAUACUACAAUUGUCAUCCAUAGGGUUUAAUUUGUGUGUCAAGUUAAUUUUCACAUCACAUGCUUGGAGCAAGGGAGAUGGACAAAAUUGAAGACCUAAAGAUGCUAGGAUUCCUAAUUGAAGAAAGAUUCCUAAUUGAAGAAAGAUUCCUAAUUGAAGAAGGAUUCCUAUAAGAAGAAGGAAUGUUAAGCCAAGGUUUCCUACUUUGGUUUUAACCUUUCCUAAUCCUAAAAGUCCAGCAACAAAGAAGACUCUAAAUCAUAUUAAGACACUAAAUAAGAACUUCUAGAAGUCCUAAACAUCCAGCCGCACCUCCCUUGUCCCUUUCUCUUCCUUGUCAUGCAAGGGAGAGCCUUCCUUUCCUUUUCCUUGUUUCACAUACCCUUUCCCCUUUCUAAAACCUCUUUGCCACAUACUCCCUUACCUUUUCCUUAGGAUUUUGACUUUAAUUCCUAUUUCCCCUUAAGUUUUGGUGUAAUUUCUGUUACCUAAAUUAUUUCCUAGCCUUAAAUACCCUAAACUCUUUAAAUAAACACCCUAGCCGCAUUCUCUAUUAUUCAUUCACCAUUCUACACAUCCAUUGAUAGGAGCAUAUUUAUGCGACUUAAUUAGCUUGUUUCCUUGCAUUUACGUUGCUAGUACUUAGUAAUUUUAGUAUUUUAAGCUAUUUUCGUGCAAUUUCAGGUUUUAAGGACAAAGUAUGCAAACAUGUGCAUUUUGGAGCCUUUUGAAGCAGUUUUGGGCAUCAAAUGGAUUACAUAUGCUUGGAGGUAAGAAGAUGGAAGAAAUUGAAGAUCAAAUGAGCAUAGGAUUGAAUGAUGAUGUGAAGAAUUGGAUUCAAGACAAAUAAAGAACGAAGUGUUCAAAAUUGGAAGCCAAAGUUUCUCAAGUUGGAAGUUUCUAUUCUUGGAGGUUUCCAUUCUUGAUAGUUUCUAUUCGUGGCUUGGAAGUUUCCUAAUCUUUCCUCACCUAUGUUCCAGCCACAAAGGGAUUCCAAAACAUAUUAGGGCACUUAAUUGGUUGUUCUAGAAGCCCUAAACCUUGCCCAAAGUCCUUGCCGCACAAAAGCAUCCUUUCUUUCCUAUUUUCUGAUCUUAAAACCACAUUCCCUUUUAUUCAAGCAACCAGCCGCACCUUUCCCCUCUUUCUUACCUAUUUUCUGACCCAAAAUUACAUUGCCCUUUGUUCUAAAGCCUUGCCAUACAAGGGGAUAGGAUUCUUACCUAUUUUGUGCCUCAAAACACAUUCCUAAAUCUGUCCUACAAUUUCUGCCGAAUUUCCCUUUCCUUUUCUCUUUAAUUCCUGCACCUUUCUUGCCUAUUUUCCAUUGAUUUCUGACUUUUAAUUAUAGGACAAAAUAGCUAAGUUAUUUCUUUCCCUAAAACUCAUAAAAACCGUGCCCUAGCCCCUAUAUAAAACCCUUUUUGCCGCAAACUCUGGAGCACUCUUCUCUUCUCUUCUCUUCUAAUCAGCCAUUCAACACUCCACCCUUCACCAUAACCUACCUACAUCCAUCCACCACCACAAAAACCUUCACCCAUCCCUUGUGCCGCAGCAAAGAAAAAGGAAGGUGACCCUUGGACGUGCUUGCCAUUCAAGACGUUAGAUUGUUGGAGCUUUUCUAGGUGUUUUCAUUCUUUGUUUUUAAUGUCUAAAUUUAUGUAUCUUUGUUUUGUGGACAUGAGGAACUAAGCCCUUCUUGGCUAGGGGGCUAUUCAAAACCAUGAUUAUAUUUGCAUUAUGAAUUGAUUACCUUCAGUUGUUAUUUCAUCAGUUGUGAAUUCAAUUUGCUUAACUGUUUGAUUGAUAACUUAUUCUUGUAUGUUUAUUAAGAGUGCACACUUAGUUUUCAUGCAAGGAUUUGAAGCUAAAAUAUAAGGGAGUUUCACCUAAUAGUUACAAACUUAUAUUUGCAAGUAGUGGAGGUCGCUUAUAAACGAUCGUGUUAAGUGAAUUCUUGGCAAAAGUUUCAUGCUUUUCAUAGUAACAAUUGCCUCGUCAAUGCUUAUAGUUUUCAUGAAACUUAAUGAUCUUUUAUUGUACCUUUAUUGUGCUUUUCACGUAGGGGACUUUUAGAGAAUGCUUUGAGUUGUUGUAUGUGCUUUCCCAUCCAAUUCAUUAACUUAAGGAGAACUUGAAGGUUAAAAAAGUGCUGUCACAGUUGACCUGGAGUAUUGAGUUUCAUGACUUAUUGAGAGAAGCAAUUGGAAAUCAAUUUGAAUGCAAGUGUGUCAUGUGUGGAGAAGAACCCCCUAUUUAACCCAUCACCCAUCAAUUCACCUAAAUUUGUCUAAGAAUCUAUUUAAAUUGUUUUUGUUUUGCUUUACUUAUUUUCGUCCAAAACCAACCCCCACUUUACUUUAUUGAGUCAUAUUAGUUAGAACUUGUUUUAGAUUGUGUUUUUAAGUGUUUUGAGUCAAGAUAUAAUCAAUUUUCGUCCAAAACUUGUGUUAGUAGCAGAAACUGCCUUAGUGUUGUUUUUAGGCAGUUUUGAGUCUUUUAAGUUUGUUUUGAGUCUUGUGAGUCUUGUUAAGUGUUUAAGUUUAUUAUUGUGUUUCUAAGUCAGUUUAGAGUAGAUUAGCAAACCCUCCUAAUCCCCGGUCCAGAACGAUCCCUACUUAUCCAUACUACAAUUGUCAACAAAAGGGUUUAAUUUAUGUGUUAAGUUAUUUGACGCAUCAAAUUUUUGCGCCGUUGCCGGGGAUUAGCAACUUUGCUAAUCCCCCGUUGUUUCUUUUUAUUUCUUUUUUGUGUCUUUUGUUUUAGUUACUGAUUUGUUUUGCUUUGUUUUAUUUACUUUUGAUAUUUGAUUUAGUUUUGUUUCUUUGAUUUCAGGUACUAGAGAAGUAAGACAUGGAUUUUGCUAACAUUCAAGCUCAAUUGGCGAAUCUUACUUCUCAAUUGUCACAGAUUGCCGGAAGGACCACAAUGCAAAGUGUCCCUACAUGUGGUGUGUCCUAUGGGCAAGGAUAUCCAACUCAUCAAUGUUCUCAAUUCGCUGCAAAGGAAGAUGCUUGGGGUUAUCAAUGCCAUAGCCAAUCAUGGGACAACAUGUUUUCCAAUGCUUACAAUUCGGAUUGGAGAGAUUAUUCAGAUUACAUGUGGGGAGAACCUCAACAAUUCCAACAUGAUGGAUAUUGGCAGCAAGAAGAGUUCUAUCAAUGGCCAUAUGCACCAUCACAGCCACCACAACAAUCUGCCUAAUUCAAUUCAGGUACGUCUCUAGAUAAUGAUAUGUUGAAUAAGUUACUCACCUCUUUGAAUCAGGAAGUAGAAAAUCAAAACAAAGAGAUGCAAAAUCAAGCCACGAAGACGGGCAAAUUGGAGGAGCAAAUUGGGCAGAUUAUGGAGUUCAUGGCACAAAUUCAAGAGCAAAGUGAACUCUCCAACUCAACUAUAGAAAAUUUGAAGGAAAAUUUUGAAAUCCAUGAUGCUAUCACUUUGGAAAGUGGCAUGGAGGUUGGAACAAGCCUAAAAACGUCCAAACCAAUCCAAAACAUGGAUGAACAGCUGUUGUUCGAAGAAGAAGAGGAUGACAAGGCCACGGCAAGGGAAGAACCACCCUUGCCGCAGCCUACCCUUGCUCCACUACCCUUGCCGCAACCUCCCAAUGCUCCACCACUGUCCAAUACAGGUAAGUUGGGUCCAAUUUUCGUUAAUUCUAACCCUAUUCCACCUAAUGUCCCUUUUCCUCGCAGGUUUUUGAUUCCCAAGGUGCAAAGUGAUAUCCAAAUUCUUGGUACAGCAAACCAAGUUUCAGAUUGUGUUGAAUUGUUUGAAGAACUUUGUACAUCAAAAAGAAGGAUUCAAGAAAAAGAAGUGGCUGGAGAAUGUCAAGAAUUCAUCAAAGAGGACGUAUUUGAAACAACAAAGCCCAAAGAAGUUGAGUUUGAUGACACGAGACAAAUCACAACCAUCGUAGUAAACCUGGCCAAAUUCAAAGUCCCUAAAACGUUCAAAGAAGUGGUGUUCGUCCUUGAGUUCUUAUCGGAGAAAAAAGGUAAGAUAUUUUCUCCAAUUUCAAAUACGUUUUCUACUAACAUAUUGAUUUUGAUGAUUCAGGCACCCAUGUUAGAAUUUAAACCAUUGCCGAAUCAUUUAAAGUAUCACCGUCCAUUCAAAGAUCAAUUCCAUGCCUUGGCCACCAAUGGAGCUUAAUUGGAGGUCUUCGUCCGGCUGCAAGACGUUAAAGCAAGCGCUUCUUGGGAGGCAACCCAUGCAUUCUGUUGGAAAUGUGCCCUAAAACCAAUCAUAUGAUGAUACUUUACAGAUAUUUCACAAAGUUUAACUAAUGUAGUUUAAAUAUAAAGGGCAAAGAUUAUUGUUUGAGCCGUCUCAUAUAAAUGUUAUAUGCUUAAACGAUAAGUCCAAGGAAUAUGUGAUUGGGAGAAUGCAAUCUAAAAAAGUUAGAUUCAUGAGACCAUUCUUUCGUAAACAUAUCCUAAACGUUCCUGAUCAUAGGAUUGCCAAUUGGGCAUUGACAGUCCGUUAAGAUCAGUACGUGCUGUGUCUUCUCUCAGGGAGAGUGACUAGUCUCGAGUCAUUGGUGUGUGUGACAUCAAGACAAGUACGUAGGUGCUCAAUAGAGAAUGAGUUCACUGAACACGAUCAACGAAGAGUUCUCAUAUUCAUGUCACAUGAGAACUCAUGGUUGGGAUCAUGCAAAGUAGUCCUUUGACCUGAGGCAUCAUAGUUGUCUUGUGGUUAAGUCUUUGAUCUUUGAUUAUGUCAAAGUCACUCCAUCAGGAGGGUGUCCACGGCAUAGUUAGGGUUAAGCCACUUAGCUAUGGAGGCAAGUGAAUGCGCAACAAGGGAUCUCUGACCUUCAAACCGUUUGAGGGAGAAUAAUCUAUGAUAUGAUUAAGAAUCUCUGAUCAGAGUAUGAAUGAGAUUUAGGAAGUCGUUCCAAAUCACAUUCAAGGUAAUCAUAUAAGCACACGAAUCACAUUGGAUAAUAGACAUGAAUAAACUAUCAAACCAAACAAUGUGGUCAAGAGUAUUGUAUUAGAGAAAGACCGUAUUCCAUUUGUAAUCCUAAACUGAAUAGGUUCUCCACCUCUUCUGAUUAGCUUGGGUAACCAUGAUAUGCUGCUAGGUGUCACUCAUGGUUUGUGGAAGCCCUAAAUGUGUAUAAUCACUAAAGGGAGAAUUGAAAGUAAGUUUCAAUUCACAAUCGGUUUGAAAGAGUUAUAAUCGCCCACUGCCUCGCUAAAAGGAACCUAAUGGAUCGUACACCGUGUAAGGUAAAGAUUGAAAACAACGGAGAUGAGUAAGAAUAAUUAAAUGGUUUAAUUAUUUAUGGCAAGGAUUAAUUAAUAUGUUAAUUAAUCAAACGAAUAAGUUCGUUAAAGACCUCAGGAUAGUUUUGGACCUUAAGGCCCAAUGGGCUUCGAACGUCAAGUCCAUUGACUUAAGUUGUAUGACAACUUAAUGAAUAAUGAUUCACAAAGGCCCAAAUAGUCCAAUGAAUCCCUAUGGCCGGCCAUUUAGAGAUGGAGUGGGUUUUGGACUUAUUUACAAGUUUGCCACUCCAAUGAAUUAAGGUAUAAAUAUGACUUUAUAGCCAAAAUUCAUUUAGGGUUUUCUUUUGGAGAAAGGAUGAGAACACAAAGCUCUCUUUUCUCUCUAAAGAGGCCGGCCACCCUAGAGGAAAUUAACUAGCAAUCUUGCUUCCUCUAGGUCACUCAUUUCUUCAUCAAUCCAUCCUUGGUGUGGAGACUUAGAGGUUCUCAAUUUUGGGAACUUGGAGAAACCUAUUUCAUCCAUCCAAAUCCAUAGAUCUAAGAUGCAAGGAAUGAAGGCCCUCUCUUUGGGUGAUUAGCCUUUGCUUAUGCAAAGAGGAAUCUACAAAGGUAUAAUUUCUCAACUCACUUUGAUUUGAGUUGAGUCUUGGUUCACCAAUCUACUAGGCUUUGAAUUUCAUGGUUAAUGUUUUGUUUUUAAGUGCAUGCAAACAUGAUUCUGCCUUUUAAUUGUUAAUAGCAUGCUAUAGAUGUUGCUUAAAUGAACAUGUUUUUACAAAUAUUUCCUUCACAUUCAACUUAGGAACGGUGGAACUUUCACUCCACACUCAGAUUUGCGUUCCUAAACCUUUAUUUUAUCAAACUUAGUUGUUUUUUUUUUGUUUGUUUGCUUUCUGUGAGUUUAUGCUUAAAACAUUGAGGACAAUGUUUGAUUUAAGUGUGGGGGGAUAACAAAGUAUUUUUGAUGCAAAUUCGUGGGUUUUAUUACCUAUCCCCUCUAAAGUUGUUUCUCACUGUUUUGGUGUGUGUUGAAGUAAAAAAACGAAAAUUUGAUAAAAAUUUGAAAAAUUGUUUUGAAAAAGCAAAAAAGAGUUGUUUUUGAAUCGUUUUUGUGUGUUUGUGUCUUAGGGUACCUUCCAACACAAUGAUGAGGAUUUGGUUUUUAAUUGCAUGACUAUUAAAGAAAGUUAUAAACAUGGAUGGAAGUUUGAUAUGCUCUUUGGUUUAUGCUUGGUUGUAGUUAUAGUUUACGAAUUCACAUGUAAUCACAAAAAGAAGAAAUUAGUUUUUGUAACAUGCUUGAAGGAAGGAACUCAAACAAACGCUACAACCUUGUGAGACUUGAGCCUAAACGUUAUUUGGAGAGUUAUUAAUCUGUGCAUUCUUGUUUUCUAAAGUCGUUGCAUGAUCUCAUUAUUCUUUGCUUGGUUGCUACUUAGAAUGCGUUUCAUCAUUAUAAAUCCAAAUACUAGAACUCAUGCCCGUUCCAUUCAAAGCAUGAUAUUGAGUGCAUAACACAUAUUCAAGAUGAAGUUGUUUAGUUACCACCAAAGCCAAAAAGCCUAUCCCUUUUGUCAUAUGUUUUGUAGGUUUAACCCCUAUUGAGCCUUCGUUAGCCUAUUUUCUUUGUUAACCACAUUAUCCCUACCUAGCCUAGAUUAGGACUGUCCACACCCUUGUUCUUAAAGAAUAGUGAAGCAUGACUUAGAGGGAAUUCCUUUUGAUUUUGCAGAAAAACAAGUGUGGGGAAGGGUUUUCAAAGUGUGUUUUGUGUGCCAAAAGAAAGAAAAGGGAAUAAAAUAAAAUAAAAAUUCGUGGAAAAAGAAAAAGAAAAAGAAAAGUGUGUGAAAAGAAUGAAAAAGAGUUGAAAAAUAAGUGAGAAUGAACUCACAUGUGUUGGUUGUUGAAGAAAGGGUCCAAAAGUUUGAAUUUGACCCUAAGUGUUGCAUGAAUCUUCCCUUGUGUUAAAAGUUUAUUUUUGCAUUCAAAAGUGAAUUCUAAGUGUCAAUUUCAUUACUUUGCUUACUAUUUCUUUAAGAACCUUUGUUUAUCCUUACCUUCCUUUGUUAGCCAAUACCCUUAGCCCCGUUACAACCCUUAGACUUCAAUCUUGAGUGUUGUGUAUUUCAAUAUGUGGAGUUUAGAAUUGGUAUGAGCAUAUGAUAUCACUGGUUCUUGCUUCUAAGUAGUAGCAUUCCGUUCAUGAGAUCAUAUAUAUACAUGCAUUAAUAAUUCCAAAAAGUGCUUCUUUGCUUAAACAUAUGUGAGUACUAGUUUUCAUAUGUACAUCAAUCUUCUCACAUAUAUCUAGUAUAGGGUGUGUAGUUAGAAAAUCUGAGUGAAAAUUGAGUGCAUACCCUGUAAGGAAUUGAGCGAAUUCUCUAAGGCAUGUUACAACAUUCAAAACAUCGUUUUAAUUGGUUAAUUGUGCACUCGUAAGUGGUGACUAUGAUUAAGUAUAUGCUCGAGGGUAAGGAUGACUAAAAUCUGUGUAAGUAAUGAUUUUUAGCAUGUCAUGUGCAUUGGAAAUCCCUAAGACAAUUGUUGGAAGGUCUAGGUUGUGUUUUGUUUUGUUUUGUUUUGUUUGUUUUGUUUUGCUCGAGGACUAGCAAAAGCUAAGUGUGGGGGAAUUUGAUAGGAGCAUAUUUAUGCAACUUAAUUAGCUUGUUUCCUUGCAUUUAUGUUGCUAUUACUUAGUAAUUUUAGUAUUUUAAGCUAUUUUCGUGCAAUUUCAGGUUUUAAGGACAAAGUAUGCAAACAUGUGCAUUUUGGAGCCUUUUGGAGCAGUUUUGGGCAUCAAAUGGAUUGCAUAUGCUUGGAGGUAAGAAGAUGGACG